GCAGAGGUGGCUCAGAGGUUAAGAGCACAGGCUGCUCUUCCAGGGGUCCUGAGUUCAAUUCCCAGCUUCUACU
Molecule: non-coding RNA, 73 nt
Organism: Mesocricetus auratus (golden hamster)
Lineage: Eukaryota; Metazoa; Chordata; Mammalia; Rodentia; Cricetidae
Source: Rfam